AUCCUUCAACUUGCCUAAAUUUGGUAUAUAAUGUUCUAAUUCGUACCAAAACUCAACAUUUAAUACAAAGAUUCUGAAUAUGCUCUUAUAUGUUUGAAAUAUGUGUUUUCAAUCGUAAUGAUUUAAGAUGAGCUACAAUGUGGAAGAUCCAUAUCUCAAAUUAUGACUUUGAAAGCCUCUAUUGAAAAUCCUAUGUAAUUCAGAAUCUGAUUUUGUAUAAAAGCUUAAACUCCAUAUGAUUUCUAAAUAAAAUC
RNAcentral lists this long non-coding RNA (254 nucleotides) under Phoenix dactylifera (date palm). RNAcentral describes it as "long non-coding RNA (PDAC_LNC014664)". The record is from RNAcentral. Lineage: Eukaryota; Viridiplantae; Streptophyta; Magnoliopsida; Arecales; Arecaceae.